AGCAGCCGCGGUAAUUCCAGCUCCAAUAGCGUAUAUUAAAGUUGUUGCAGUUAAAAAGCUCGUAGUUGAAUUUCGGGACUAAUAUGUCGGUCGUGCCUCGGUACGUACUGGUAUUUUUGGUUUCUCCCUUCUGACGAACCUUGAUGUCAUUAAUUUGGUGUCUUGGGAAAUCAGGACUGUUACUUUGAAAAAUUAGAGUGUUUAAAGCAGGCUUACGCUUGAAUACAUUAGCAUGGAAUAAUGAAAUAGGACGUUUGAUUCUAUUUUGUUGGUUUCUAGGAUCGACGUAAUGAUUAAUAGGGAUAGUUGGGGGCAUUAGUAUUCAAUUGUCAGAGGUGAAAUUCUUGGAUUUAUUGAAGACUAACUACUGCGAAAGCAUUUGCCAAGGAUGUUUUCAUUAAUCAAGAACGAAAGUUAGGGGAUCGAAGACGAUCAGAUACCGUCGUAGUCUUAAACCAUAAACUAUGCCGACUAGGGAUCGGAUGAUGUUAAUUUUUAAUGACUCA
Molecule: ribosomal RNA, 506 nt
Filed under: uncultured Glomeraceae
Lineage: Eukaryota; Fungi; Glomeromycota; Glomeromycetes; Glomerales; Glomeraceae
Description: SSU rRNA
Rfam family: Eukaryotic small subunit ribosomal RNA
Source: RNAcentral